Molecule: unclassified non-coding RNA, 240 nt
Filed under: soil metagenome
Description: partial contains 5.8S ribosomal RNA, internal transcribed spacer 2, and large subunit ribosomal RNA
Source: RNAcentral
AACGCACGAGACCUGCGGACCUGCGGAAGGAUCAUUAAAAAGAGUGUGUACCCCUCUGUAAAAUGAGUGGGUUACCUCCCGUCCUUUGUUGACCUCUUAGGAGGUUAUUUUGAACUUUCUGCUUCGGUGGGGUUAAACCUACCGGAACACCCUCAAAUUCUUAUCAUUUAAAAAUUGUUCAGUCCGAUUUUUUGUUAAUAAAAACAAAAAACUUUUAACAAUGGAUCUCUAGAUCGGAAG